Molecule: non-coding RNA, 106 nt
Filed under: Picochlorum sp. RCC944
Lineage: Eukaryota; Viridiplantae; Chlorophyta; Trebouxiophyceae
Source: RNAcentral
UAAAAGAGUAAAACAAAACAAAACAAACCUUCCUCACACUUCUUCUUGUUGGUUGCGCCACACACAUACUCUUCCUUCUUCUUCCUUCUUCUUCUUCCUUAUGAAU